CUCUCCACCCACUGGGGUAUAUAAAUAUUCGGGAGGGCCGGGCACCGGGGAAGGUGGGGAGAGGAAGCAGGUGGCACGGCGGUGGCUGGGACCGGCGGGGCCGUGCGCGGGGAAGGGGAGCGAUGGUGAGAGGGAAAGGUGGGCACGGUGCGAGCCGGCACAGCCGCUGACAAUAAAGGAUAGUGCCGGGCACGGGGAGCUGGCGAGGUUGGACCGAGUUGCAAGUUGUAUUUACCUUCCGCCCGGGCGGAGCGCCGUGCUGACUGUCGCUCCUCUCCCCCGUCAGUGAGUCACCCGAAUCCAGAACCGGAGCGAGGGACUAGAUUACGAACAUGACUUCAUUGAUGACAGCCAUUCCCUCCUCUUCCUAAACUCCUGCCCCUCCUCCGGCCCCCCCAUCGCGGACGCCACUGCUCAGGCAGCUGUGUUGCCAUUGGUCCGCCGGACAGGGAGUGCCCGCCCCCCUGCGUAGAAGGGGCGGCCCUAUUGGCCCGGAGAGCUAUCGCUCAUCCGUGAGGCCGGGUGGGGGGGGUCGAAGGUGUGCAGUCGCGCGCGGGGCGGGGUGCGCUGCGCUCCGCGGCGCCGUGCGCAGGCCGAGCGCUCCGCUCCCGCGCUGGCCGUGCAGCGCCGGGCAGCGUGCGCUCCCAUCGGCUGCCGCCCCGCGCUCCUGCGCCCCUCCCAGCUCGCCUCUGCGGUGGGGAGAGAGGGGCAGGAUCUCUUUCCCUACGAAGGCGGCAGCAGGGCGCGGGCGGCACUCGCGGGAGUAGUUUGGGAAAGAGGUGAAGAAGGUGCUGGAAUUGCGCUGUGCCUCUGCCCCGCUGGAGGAGCGGGGAGGAGCCAGCCUGACGGGCCUGGGAUCAGCUGUGUCUGGCUGUUGGGAGUGAGUGUGUGUGUGUGUGUGUUUUGUGUGCGCCCAGGACGGGUGUCUCCUUCCCUUUAAAAGAAAAGGCAAAGGUGGGCGUGGAGCUUGGACCCCGACCCCUGUCUCCGGUGGCAAAGGGUGCUGUCGUGGCCGCGGGCAGGCUGCAGAGAGCAUUCCAGCGGAACCGGCCUGUCUGGCAGGCUCCGGCUCCAGCGGCGGCGCCGAGGCUGCCCGCAGCCCCUCGCGGUGCAGCGCUGAGGCGGCUGCUGAGGCAGCGGCGGGCAGAACGAUCCCGGGUGAAGCUCUUCUUUCUGCGGGAUUGGGAGGGAAAACGCAAUUUUUCCCACAUCACUCCCACUACAGUCAGCCAUUGCCCUGCCUGUUCAGGAGGACUUGCAAGAGACUAAGCCUGCUGCUUCUGCCAUGGCAUAGGACAACCAGGAGAAGAAAAAAACUUGCUGGAAUGUACAGGCUGUCUAGAAGAAAAAUGGCUUUUUUCUUACCUGAGAGAAGAGCUGAGGAAGCACAAGAGAAGGUUGCCCAACAGUAUUUUUCCUGGAAAGAGGAUGUUUGCUGUGAGCCAGACCUCCUCAUGUCCAUCUCCUUCCAAGGGGCUUAUCAGCAUGAUCUGCACAUCCGGAGUACAGAGGAACCGUACUCCAGAUGUCUGCUGCCUGUACUGUCAAUGGCCCACUGAAGUUUUUGUUAUCUAUCUGGGCUAACUGGGCCAGACAGAGCAAACAAAGAGCAUGAUGGAGGAUGAUGAGUGACUCUGCACAGGAAAGGAGUGUCCUGGUCCCAGCCACAGCCCAUGCCAGGAGAGGAGUAUCCGAGACAGCCAUUUCCGAGACCUCACCGUGCUCUCCACCAGGCUCUGCCAAAGCAUCUCUGGGAUUAAUUCCUUCUCACUCUGAUGAGGCAGAGGAAGGCAAAUCAUACACUGAGAAUAGACCUGCAUGCCAAGACACUAGAAUAAUUAAAAAGAUGUUUUUAAAAGACAGACAAAGCACUGGAUGUUGUUGAUAGACAAACUUGAACAGGAUUUUUCAGGGAUUGGUGUGCAAACCUGGUGUGCAAGAUUGGUGUGCAAUCCUGGUAUGAAAGAUAAGUGUCUAAGACAGAGAUGUUGAGCAGAUGGCCUUCUCCUUUUUAGGAAUAGAUGCACUUUGGUGUUUUAUAAACUUCAUGAAAGGAAAAUCAGGGCAACACAAAGCUAUUUUUUCCUACUUAGCAGCUGGAAGUAAGGUGAAUUUAUCAGCCUCAGUGGUAUCCCUUCUGAACAAUAGCAUCCCACAAAGAGAAAAGGCAAACAAGUAAUCCAGCACAGCAUGGCAUGGUUGAAAUCAUCUCUGUCUUGUUUUGUGCAGCUGGAAGAACAAACUUUUUUG
RNAcentral lists this long non-coding RNA (2250 nucleotides) under Parus major (Great Tit). RNAcentral's name for it is "lncRNA (ENSPMJG00000016194.1)". Lineage: Eukaryota; Metazoa; Chordata; Aves; Passeriformes; Paridae. The record is from RNAcentral.